Molecule: small RNA, 849 nt
Filed under: Arabidopsis thaliana (thale cress)
Lineage: Eukaryota; Viridiplantae; Streptophyta; Magnoliopsida; Brassicales; Brassicaceae
Description: ATSL274050
Source: RNAcentral
AAGAAGUUUUUUUCUAAGUUUUAUUCCGCAGACACUGUGUUCAUUACAUUUUGUAAUCCGGAUUUCUCUAAUCUAUUCAGUAUUCAGCAUUUUGUUCUUGAUUUUGUUUACUGUUGUUCAUCCUGUUAUCAUCCUGCUGUUACAUUGUUGUUAUCAUGUUUUCAUCCUGUUCAACGUUUAUGUUCUCUACAAUGAUGUCUAAGUAGUGAAUAAAUUUCUGAGGAUGGGUUAGAGUAGUGUACAAUUCUCAGUAUGCUAGGUAGUUGAGUUUGAUUGAUAGAUCCCUUCUGCAUUAGUUGGUUUUAAUGCCUAUUGCUUUCUGAUCAACUAGAAUUUGAGCCCAGACAUUUCCGCACCCAAAAGUUGUUCGAUAAAAUGUCUGAACCACUAAUUCCAGAGAUUCGUGGCUCUGUACCAAGGUAUUGGUUGUAGGGAGCGUUUUGGCUUUAACUCGUUGAUUCGUAAUGCCUGUUAGGUUAGCUCUCGUCAAUGGUGAUUGAGUCUGGGACUAGGUUAACUUAAGGGUCUCUGUUGCAGUGGCAAUUAAAUUUGGUUAAUGAACUUGUUGUCUAGGGAUAAUUUAUUGAGCAUGUCAAUCACCUGUAAACUGAGGAAACGAAACUAUUCAAUUACCCCAUCCUCGGGAAUUCUUUAUCUGAUUGAUUUUAUUGUUUACUCUACUGGUAUUUACUGCAUCUUGUCAUCUGUUGCUUAGUUUCUGCAAUUCUUUACUGUUACUCGACAUGAUACUCGACCACCCAGUUGUCUAGUAACAAACUGUGUAGUCGAGUAUCCCUGUUAUAUUUUUUGUCUGUUACUUGACUUGUCACUCGACCACACCCAGUGCUC